RNAcentral lists this ribosomal RNA (506 nucleotides) under uncultured bacterium. RNAcentral's name for it is "partial 16S ribosomal RNA". It matches the Rfam family "Bacterial small subunit ribosomal RNA", at positions 28 to 523 of the family's 1533-position model. The record is from RNAcentral.
GAUGAACGCUAGCUACAGGCUUAACACAUGCAAGUCGAGGGGUAACGAGAGGAAAGCUUGCUUUCCUUGUCGACGACCGGCGCACGGGUGAGUAACGCGUAUCCAACCUGCCCCCAACUAGGGAAUAACCUUGCGAAAGUAAGACUAAUACCCUAUAAUUUCCUCAGAUGUCAUCUGACGAGGAAUAAAGAUUUAUCGGUUGUGGAUGGGGAUGCGUCUGAUUAGCUUGUUGGCGGGGUAACGGCCCAUCAAGGCAACGAUCAGUAGGGGUUCUGAGAGGAAGGUCCCCCACAUUGGACCAGAGACACAGUCCACACUCCUACGUGAGGCAGCAGUGAGGAAUAUUGGUAAAUGGGCGGAAGCUUGAACCAGCCAAGUAGCGUGCAGGAUGACGGCCCUAUGGGUUGUAAACUGCUUUUAUACAGGAAUAAAGUUAGCCACGUGUGGUUAUUUGUAGGUACUGUAUGAAUAAGGACCGGCUAAUUCCGUGCCAGCCGCCGCAGUAA